RNAcentral lists this long non-coding RNA (511 nucleotides) under Ursus maritimus (polar bear). Its description in RNAcentral is "lncRNA (ENSUMAG00000009409.1)". The record is from RNAcentral. Lineage: Eukaryota; Metazoa; Chordata; Mammalia; Carnivora; Ursidae.
UGGCGCCACGACGAGUGGGGGCGAGAACGAGCGAGAGGACGGCGAGCGGGAGUGGAAGCCCCCGGACCAGGAGUUAAUCAGGAAGCUGGUGGAUCAGAUCGAAUUCUACUUUUCUGAUGAGAACUUGGAGAAGGAAACAAGCUGGGGUACGUGAGCGUCAAGCUCCUCACGUCCUUCAAAAAGGUGAAACACCUGACCCGGGACUGGAGAACCACGGCGCACGCCUUGAAGCACUCGGUGACCCUCGAGUUGAACGAGGACCAGCGGAAGGGCUGCGCGACUGACGCUCCUGAGGGCCGGUCGGGCCGGCGGUCUCUUCUUCGGGACAGAGUUCUUCCCCGCGGUGACUGAGCUGUCCUCGGCGGGCCACGCAGGGCCUUCCUGAGAGCCCACGGGAGUUCUGUUGUGUCACGGCCACUCAUUCAGCCGCUAGCAUGAUGUCUUACAGGACCAAAUGUGUAUUUCCUGUCAAGUGAAUAAAUAAUGAAACCCCCGACUGGGAGUGCUGGCU